CACCAGACUCCUACGGGAGGCAGCAGUGGGGAAUAUUGCACAAUGGGGGAAACCCUGAUGCAGCGACGCCGCGUGAAGGAAGAAGUAUUUCGGUAUGUAAACUUCUAUCAGCAGGGAAGAAAAUGACGGUACCUGACUAAGAAGCCCCGGCUAACUACGUGCCAGCAGCCGCGGUAAUACGUAGGGGGCAAGCGUUAUCCGGAUUUACUGGGUGUAAAGGGAGCGUAGGCGGUGCAGCAAGUCAGAAGUGAAAACCCAAGGCUCAACCAUGGGACUGCUUUUGAAACUGUCAAACUAGAGUACGGGAGAGGUAAGAGGAAUUCCUAGUGUAGCGGUGAAAUGCGUAGAUAUUAGGAGGAACACCAGUGGCGAAGGCGUCUUACUGGAUCGAAACUGACGUUGAGGCUCGAAAGCGUGGGGAGCAAACAGGAUUAGAUACCCGAGUA
RNAcentral lists this ribosomal RNA (446 nucleotides) under uncultured bacterium. RNAcentral describes it as "partial 16S ribosomal RNA". It matches the Rfam family "Bacterial small subunit ribosomal RNA", at positions 329 to 792 of the family's 1533-position model. The record is from RNAcentral.